This 290-nucleotide unclassified non-coding RNA is filed under the name uncultured fungus. RNAcentral describes it as "sequence contains ITS1, 5.8S rRNA gene". The stretch from base 242 to 290 matches the Rfam family "5.8S ribosomal RNA", at positions 1 to 49 of the family's 154-position model. Lineage: Eukaryota; Fungi. The record is from RNAcentral.
UUUCCGUAGGUGAACCUGCGGAAGGAUCAUUAAUGAAUGAAUGUAGAGUCGGGUUGUAGCUGGCCUCCCCCGGAGGCAUGUGCACGCCUGCUCUUUCAUCCACACACCCCUGUGCACCUAUUGUGGGUACUAUGUCGCGGAAGGGGGGCUGGCUAACGGCCUUUUGGAUGCGCAUAUACUCAUGUUUUACACACUACGCAUGUCCUAGAAUGUCUUUUUUUGCGAUAAUCGCAUGUAAUACAACUUUCAACAACGGAUCUCUUGGCUCUCGCAUCGAUGAAGAACGCAGC